This 1626-nucleotide long non-coding RNA is filed under the name Callithrix jacchus (white-tufted-ear marmoset). Its description in RNAcentral is "lncRNA (ENSCJAG00000078492.1)". Lineage: Eukaryota; Metazoa; Chordata; Mammalia; Primates; Cebidae. The record is from RNAcentral.
UUUAUGAUUUCUCACGAGCCUAGGGGUGAGCUGGUUGGUUCUUCUCUUCUUGGUUGGGGCCAGGACAAGGGUGGGGAGGAGGUGGGGGUGUCUGAGGACAAGGGGGCAUCCUGGAGUGGGCAGACUCUGGAGUCAUCAGGUAAUUUUGGGCCUCCCAGGGUGAAAAGAAGAAAGAGGACCUUCACCAGAGUCAGCAGGAGCUCCACUUCCACUCCCCUCAACGCACGGUCAAGACCAACUGUUGAGUGAGGUGAGGGAAUGGAGGAGAGGGCAUGCAGAGGGGUAGAGAGGCGUGGAAGAGACCCACAGACAAAGGGACGGGGCAGACAGAAGUCACUGGCAAGGAGAAAGUGAGAGGGUGAGGGUUCCGGUUGGAGGGUUGAGAAUAAAAGGAUAACGGGGUAAAGGAGGGGACGGAGCUUAGAUAUCUGGAAGGAUUUCCAGAUCCCAGGGCUAUUGGACCUUCUCUCUACAGGGCAUGGGAGAUAUGUUCCCCCAAGCCAUACACUAGCGGUGAGGUACAGUUGAGAGGACCUGAAAUCAGAAAUGUGCCAAGAGUGCUUGGGAAACAGCCAACAAGUGUCCCAGCCAGCAGGGGCAAAGCAGAGUCGGGGGAGACUCCCUGUCAAAUGCAAGGUGUCCAGGUGAGACAUCCCAAGAGGCAAGAAGAUGAAUUUUUGUCCAGAGUCAUGAACGGGAGCCGGAGAGCUCUGAGAAGAGCAGAAUACGGACCCCUAGGGGACAGCCAACUGCACUGCUUCUUGGAGGUCCUGGAGUGUGGUUCUUGGGUAGGGAUGCGGUUCAUUUAAAACAAGGCCCAGCCAACAGCCUUCGGUAGCUUCGACCCACUUUCUUGGAAUUAGAGGAGAAAUGAUCCAGCCUCUGAAGGGGCCAGCUCAGUAUUCCAGCUCCUACCACUUCAUGGAGGCUGAAGGCUAUUCUACAGAGUGGGAAAUGCAAGGAGCUUUCUGGUGAUGUUUGGGCAUCUGUAGGCAAGACCCUCACCAGUGGGCUCCUUCCCCAGCCACCUUCCCUCCACAGUCUCUGGGAUCUUCCCACUGAAUUCCUAACUUGUGUGUCCAGCUGCUCACGGGCUAUGUCCACCAGGAGGUCCAGCAGGCAUCUCAAACCCAGCAUGUCCACAGCCACGCUGACCUCCACCCACCUACAAGCCUGUCUGGCUGCAACCUUCUCUAUAACAAGCCAGUGGCAAAGCCAUCCUUCCAGCUCCUCAGGGCUGUCAAAAGUCUAAAGACCUUAAAUGGCUUUUAUUUGUGGUUCCAGAAGCAGAUAACAACUUGUUUUAUAAAACAGAAUGAGUGUUCCAAAAAGCUGACCAUGGAGACUGAUUUUAUGGACAGGAAAAGGCUGAGGAGAGCAGAAACAGGGAAUGAAACUUGAACCUGGGAGGUGGAGGUUGCAGUGAGCUGAGAUCACACCGUUGCACUCCAGCCUGGCAGCAAGAGUGAAACUCAUCUCAACAACAACAAAAAAAAGUCCGCUGCUCCUACCACCUCUGUGGCUCCACCUGGGCCCAAGCCUACAUCUUCUCUUGUUUGGUUGCAACAGAAGCCAUCCGCUCCCUUCCUGACCUUUCCCCGUCUAUUCACCCAGUGGCCAGAGUGA